UGCCAGAAACUGUUCCUUGUC
This 21-nucleotide non-coding RNA is filed under the name Caenorhabditis elegans. Lineage: Eukaryota; Metazoa; Nematoda; Chromadorea; Rhabditida; Rhabditidae. The record is from RNAcentral.